RNAcentral lists this transfer RNA (76 nucleotides) under Marmota marmota marmota (Alpine marmot). It matches the Rfam family "tRNA". Rfam says of the family: Transfer RNA (tRNA) molecules are approximately 80 nucleotides in length. Their secondary structure includes four short double-helical elements and three loops (D, anti-codon, and T loops). RNAcentral also lists the same sequence under 2 other names. Lineage: Eukaryota; Metazoa; Chordata; Mammalia; Rodentia; Sciuridae. The record is from Rfam by way of RNAcentral.
CACUGUGUAGCUUAGUGGUAGAGCACUUGCCUUACUAGCAUGUGCAAGGCCCUGGGUUCAACCCCCAGCACUGAAA